GAUCAUGGCUCAGGAUGAACGCUAGCUACAGGCUUAACACAUGCAAGUCGAGGGGCAGCAUGGUCUUAGCUUGCUAAAGGCCGAUGGCGACCGGCGCACGGGUGAGUAACACGUAUCCAACCUGCCGUCUACUCGUUGGACAGCCUUCUGAAAGGAAGAUUAAUACAAGAUGGCAUCAUGAGUUCACAUGUUCACAUGAUUAAAGGUAUUCCGGUAGACGAUGGGGA
RNAcentral lists this ribosomal RNA (227 nucleotides) under uncultured bacterium. RNAcentral's name for it is "partial 16S ribosomal RNA". It matches the Rfam family "Bacterial small subunit ribosomal RNA", at positions 15 to 231 of the family's 1533-position model. The record is from RNAcentral.